RNAcentral lists this ribosomal RNA (439 nucleotides) under uncultured bacterium. RNAcentral's name for it is "bacterial SSU rRNA". It matches the Rfam family "Bacterial small subunit ribosomal RNA", at positions 959 to 1397 of the family's 1533-position model. The record is from RNAcentral.
ACGCGUGGAACCUUACCAGGUCUUGACAUCCUCUGACACUCCUAGAGAUAGGACGUUCCCCUUCGGGGGACAGAGUGACAGGUGGUGCAUGGUUGUCGUCAGCUCGUGUCGUGAGAUGUUGGGUUAAGUCCCGCAACGAGCGCAACCCUUGAUCUUAGUUGCCAGCAUUAAGUUGGGCACUCUAAGGUGACUGCCGGUGACAAACCGGAGGAAGGUGGGGAUGACGUCAAAUCAUCAUGCCCCUUAUGACCUGGGCUACACACGUGCUACAAUGGAUGGUACAAAGGGCAGCAAAGCGGCGACGCCUAGCAAAUCCCAUAAAACCAUUCUCAGUUCGGAUUGUAGGCUGCAACUCGCCUACAUGAAGCUGGAAUCGCUAGUAAUCGCGGAUCAGCAUGCCGCGGUGAAUACGUUCCCGGGCCUUGCACUCACCGCCCGU